GAGGGUAGAGCUCAGUGGUAGAGCACAUGCUUAGCACGUAUGAGGUCCUCGGUCCAAGCUCCAGUAAUUUCA
RNAcentral lists this transfer RNA (72 nucleotides) under Camelus ferus (Wild Bactrian camel). It matches the Rfam family "tRNA". Rfam says of the family: Transfer RNA (tRNA) molecules are approximately 80 nucleotides in length. Lineage: Eukaryota; Metazoa; Chordata; Mammalia; Artiodactyla; Camelidae. The record is from Rfam by way of RNAcentral.